AACGAACGCUGGCGGCAUGCCUUACACAUGCAAGUCGAACGGCAGCACGGGAGCAAUCCUGGUGGCGAGUGGCGAACGGGUGAGUAAAGUAUCGGAACGUGCCCAGUCGUGGGGGAUAACGUAGCGAAAGUUACGCUAAUACCGCAUACGAUCUAUGGAUGAAAGCGGGGGAUCGCAAGACCUCGCGCGAUUGGAGCGGCCGAUAUCAGAUUAGGUAGUUGGUGGGGUAAAGGCUCACCAAGCCGACGAUCUGUAGCUGGUCUGAGAGGACGACCAGCCACACUGGGACUGAGACACGGCCCAGACUCCUACGGGAGGCAGCAGUGGGGAAUUUUGGACAAUGGGCGAAAGCCUGAUCCAGCCAUGCCGCGUGCAGGAUGAAGGCCUUCGGGUUGUAAACUGCUUUUGUACGGAACGAAAAGGUUUGGCCUAAUAAGCUGAGCUCAUGACGGUACCGUAAGAAUAAGCACCGGCUAACUACGUGCCAGCAGCCGCGGUAA
RNAcentral lists this ribosomal RNA (500 nucleotides) under uncultured bacterium. RNAcentral describes it as "partial 16S ribosomal RNA". It matches the Rfam family "Bacterial small subunit ribosomal RNA", at positions 29 to 523 of the family's 1533-position model. The record is from RNAcentral.